GCCUGCGACUCAUAGGCAGUAGUGGCUUGAUUAAGGAAACCCAUCAGAGCCGUAGUGAAAGCUAGUCUUCAUAGGACAAUUGUCACUGCUUAUAGACCUGAACUUGGGUGAUCUAUCCAUGAUCAAGAUGAAGCUUGGGUGAAACUAAAUCGAGGUCUAAAUCAAUUGAUGUUGAAAAAUCAGAGGAUGAGUUGUGGCUAGGGGUAAAAUGCCACUCUAACCCAGAGCUAGCUUGUUUUCCCCGAAAUGCGUUGAGAGGCAACAGUUGACUAGACAUUUAGGGGUAAAGCACUAUUUCAGUGCGAGUCACAAGGGCGGUACCAAAUCAAGGAAAACUCUGAAUACUAGAUAUACCUUAAAAUAACAGGUAUCAAUAUCGGCCAGUGAGACAAUGGGGGAUAAGCAUCAUUGUUGAGAGGGAAAUAGCUCAUAUCACUAGCUAAGGCCCCUAAAUGAUCGCUCAGUGAUAAAGGAGGUAGGGAUGCAAAGAUAGCCAUGGGGUUUGCAUAGAAGCAGCCACCCUUGAAAGAGUAUGUACUAGCUCAUUGAUCGCGUGCUCCUGCAUCGAAGAUGAAUGGGGCUAAGCGAUCUGUUGAAAUUGUGGGAUGUAAAAAUACAUCUGUAGGGGAGCAUUCUGCUUUAGAAGGAAGCCCCUGCGCAAGUAGUGGUGGACGAAGUGGAAGGAAGAUUGUCGGUUUGAGUAAUGCAAACAUUGGUGAGAAUCCAAUG
This 729-nucleotide ribosomal RNA is filed under the name Olea europaea subsp. europaea. Its description in RNAcentral is "LSU_rRNA_archaea". It matches the Rfam family "Bacterial large subunit ribosomal RNA", at positions 619 to 1334 of the family's 2925-position model. Lineage: Eukaryota; Viridiplantae; Streptophyta; Magnoliopsida; Lamiales; Oleaceae. The record is from RNAcentral.